RNAcentral lists this long non-coding RNA (5861 nucleotides) under Salmo salar (Atlantic salmon). RNAcentral describes it as "lncRNA (ENSSSAG00000087071.1, ENSSSAG00000110078.1)". Lineage: Eukaryota; Metazoa; Chordata; Actinopteri; Salmoniformes; Salmonidae. The record is from RNAcentral.
CAAGACAUCUACAGAGUCCCAGCGCUAUAAACCUUUACAGUUACAUGCCCCCCCCCCAUGGCCAAGACAUCUACAGAGUCCCAGCGCUAUAAACCUUUACAGUUACAUGAACCCCCCCAUGGCCAAGACAUCUACAGAGUCCCAGCGCUAUAAUCUACAGAGUCCCAGCGCUAUAAACCUUUACAGUUACAUGCCCCCCCAUGGCCAAGACAUCUACAGAGUCCCAGCGCUAUAAACCUUUACAGUUACAUGCCCCCCCCCCCAUGGCCAAGACAUCUACAGAGUCCCAGCGCUAUAAACCUUUACAGUUACAUGAACCCCCCCCACCCCCCCCCCAUGGCCAAGACAUCUACAGAGUCCCAGCGCUAUAAUCUACAGAGUCCCAGCGCUAUAAACCUUUACAGUUACAUGACUGACCGUCCCCCCCCAUGGCCAAGACAGACUAAUAAUAAUGCUAUCUUCAUCAUCAUCACCCGUUAUGAGAGGUAUUAAACACUUCAGAUAGAACAGGCAGGACAUCAGUUCUCGUCCGUCCCAUGUCCCAGCACUGCUCUGCUCUAAAUGACAGUGAUGUUAUGUGUUGGUUCUCUACAUCGCUGUGUAGUCAUGGGAAACACAAGGUGCCUUUCCGAGAUGAUUUCACAACUGUAAUGUUCUCUCAAGCUAUUACCUAUGCAUGGAUCGAAGCUUGGUGUAUGUUAUACUCUAUAUUAACCAACAGAAUGAAAUUGUUCCUAUAUAUUAUGUCAUUUUUUGUAUUUUUUUUUAUCUUUAACUAAAACUGUUAUCUAUGUACCAUUCCCCAGUCAAUGAUAUGAAGCUAAAAUACAGGAUGUAUAUAUUUCCCAGUCUGUAUUAUGUUCGUCCCAAGUGGCAUCCUGUUCCCGUAGUGCUCUAGUUUUGACUAGGUCCAUGGAGCUCUGGUCAACAGUAGUGUACACUAAUAGAGAUUAGGGUGCCAGUUUUGACUAGGUCCAUGGAGCUCUGGUCAACAGUAGUGUACACUAAUAGAGAUUAGGGUGCCAUGUGGGAAACAUAUCCUUUUCAACACACAAUCAUGUUGUCGUCAUGAUUCAUAGUAAUUCAUCAUAUUUUAUGUGCUCAUGUUUUCUGUGAUAAUGAUCGACGGAAAGUGAUUGUCUCAUUGAUAAUCAAAGUGAAUUUAUGCAAUGUAUGAUUUUUAAAAUUCAAACCCUGAUUUAAUAAUAAUAAUAUUUCAAAUCCAGUCGAAUUGAACUUCAGACUUAAAGAUGUGUUUGUGAUAGAUGUUUGUCCUACCUCUAACAAUACAUUGUGUUAUCUGUGCCAAAGCCUUGCUACGCGUAUAGAAAAUGGCAACUUUUACAUGAGUCAUGAAUCACCCCCAAUAGAUGUCCUUUAGAGGUAGUCCACCGUUUCCAUAACAUACUGAAUCCUACAGCUGUCACCCUUCCGUUUCCAUAACAUACUGAAUCCUACAGCUGUCACCAUUCAGAACAUACUGAAUCCUACAGCUGUCACCAUUCAGAACAUACUGAAUCCUACAGCUGUCACCAUUCAGAACAUACUGAAUCCUACAGCUGUCACCAUUCAGAACAUACUGAAUCCUACAGCUGGCACCAUUCCGUUUCCAUAACAUACUGAAUCCUACAGCUGUCACCAUUCAUAACAUACUGAAUCCUACAGCUGUCACCAUUCAGAACAUACUGAAUCCUACAGCUGUCACCAUUCAGAACAUACUGAAUCCUACAGCUGUCACCCUUCCGUUUCCAUAACAUACUGAAUCCUACAGCUGUCACCAUUCAGAACAUACUGAAUCCUACAGCUGUCACCAUUCAGAACAUACUGAAUCCUACAGCUGUCACCAUUCAGAACAUACUGAAUCCUACAGCUGUCACCAUUCCGUUUCCAUAACAUACUGAAUCCUACAGCUGUCACCCUUCCGUUUCCAUAACAUACUGAAUCCUACAGCUGUCACCAUUCAGUUUCCAUAACAUACUGAAUCCUACAGCUGUCACCAUUCAGAACAUACUGAAUCCUACAGCUGUCACCAUUCAGAACAUACUGAAUCCUACAGCUGUCACCAUUCAGAACAUACUGAAUCCUACAGCUGUCACCAUUCAGAACAUACUGAAUCCUACAGCUGUCACCAUUCAGAACAUACUGAAUCCUACAGCUGGCACCAUUCAGUUUCCAUAACAUACUGAAUCCUACAGUUGUCACCAUUCAGUUUCCAUAACAUACUGAAUCCUACAGCUGUCACCAUUCAGAACAUACUGAAUCCUACAGCUGCCACACUUCAAGUACAGUCAGUACAAAUUAUACACAAGAUAUCCCAUCAGACUGUAGUAGUAUUGAGACUCUUUGAUUUGUCUGACAGUCACCUGAGAUGUUCUUUUACACUGAGAUGCUCAGUGAAGACAUUCAAUAGACACUGACGACAGCCAUAUCGUCUCCUCCACCAGAGCAGUAUUGAUCACAUCUCUCUGCGUGGCUGUCUGAUUAAAUGUUCUCUCUCUCCGACCGUCACACACUGAGAUGUGAUGGUCGGACACGUGAUUGACAGUGGUGUUUUUACCUGACAGUACUGUAGGGACCAGGUUGAAGAGAGUUAUGGUUGUUGUGAUGGUUAGAGUUGUUGUGAUGGUUAGAGAUAGGGUUAGGGUUGUUGUGAUGGUUAGAGAUAGGGUUAGGGUUGUUGUGAUGGUUAGAGAUAGGGUUAGGGUUGUUGUGAUGGUUAGAGAUAGGGUUAGGGUUGUUGUGAUGGUUAGAGAUAGGGUUAAGGUUGUUGUGAUGUGGGGUAGUCUACUGGUGUUGUCCACAUGGUCCUGUGGGUGGGGUGGUGUACAGUCUGGUUGGAUAAUGUCAUUAUCUAUAAAAGGUAAAAGAAGUCGAUCGUUUGUUUGAAGAGAAGCUUCAAGUCUGUUUCAACACAAUGCUCUUAACAUCUUACCAGAAAUAGGCUGACAGAUUCUUCUGUAGCUGUGGUAUCAUCACUGCCUCAUCUUCAAAAGGAGGGAGACUUUAGACAUGAUUUUCAGUUUUGGCUCGAGGGCCACAUCGGGAUUUUGAAAUUCAACGGAGGGAUGCAUUUUUUGGGGGACCAAUUGUUUGUUAUAAUCAAUUUGCGGGGGCCUCCCGAGUGGCGCAGCGGUCUAAGGUACUGCAUCGCAGUGCUAGAAGCGUCAUUACAGACCCGGGUUCGAUCCCGGGCCGUGUCAUAGUUGGCCGUGACUAAAACACCCAUGAGGCGGCGCAUAAUUGGCCCAUUGUCGUCCGGGUUAGGAGAGGGUUUGGCAGGCCAAGAUUUCCUUGUCCCAUCGCGCUCUAGUGACUCCUGUGGCAGGCCGGGCGCAUGCACGCUGACACGGUCGCCAGGUGUACGGUGUUUCCUCCGACACAUUGGUGCAGCUGGUUUCCGGGUUAAGCGGGCAUUGUGUCAAGAAGCAGUGCGGCUUGGCUGGGUUGUGUUUCGGAGGAUGCUGGGUCGUGUUUCGACCUUCGCCUCUCCCGAGUCCUUAAGGGAGUUGCAGCGAUGGGACAAGAAAGGGCUAAAUUAUUUUUCUUUUUGUCUCGUGGGCCAGAUUGAACUGCCCCGCGGGCCGUACUUUGCCCCCCUCCCCCCUUGCUCUAAGGUAUAUGCAGGACUUGGGCAGGAGCUCACAGGAGCCGAGUACAGGCACCUGAAAUGUUCAACUGCUUGAACUCCUGUUCCUGUUAUUGAAUAUUAUCUCAAAAGUAUUGUGGAACUCCUGCACCUAAAUAUAAGCAGUACUGGCAACCAAAAUGAGUACCGACACCUAUUUCAAUCCAUCUCAAGCACUGGGUAUAUGUUAAAGCAAUCGUCUUAGUCGUGAGAACAGGACAACUUAUCACGGGACACUGUCUCAACACAACAUGCUUGUUUGUUUGAAGCCCUUCUAGUAUUGGUAAAGACAAACCAUUUAUUGGGAAAAAAAUGGUAUCAAAUCAAAGUGUAUUUGUCACGUGCCAUGUACAACAGAUGUAGACGUUACUGUGAAAUGCUUACUGACGAGCCCUUUUCCAAAACAACGCAGAAUUACAAUGUAAUAAUUGAAUGGUAAAGAAAAUGCAAUCGAAUUCUGCAUCGUUCUAUUGUCUGUUUCUAGUAUCAACGUUCCAACAAAGUCCAUGUCAGGGCAAUAUAAUAAUACACAUACCCUGGCCUGGCUCUUGAUAUACCCUGGCCUGGCUCUUGAUAUACCCUGGCCUGGCUCUUGAUAUACCCUGGCCUGGCUCUUGAUAUACCCUGGCCUGGCUCUUGAUAUACCCUGGCCUGGCUCUUGAUAUACCCUGGCCUGGCUCUUGAUAUACCCUGGCCUGGCUCUUGAUAUACCCUGGCCUGUGUGCCAGGCUCUUGACAACUUCUUAUGGAAUUGCCUUUUGGCUUGAAAAUAACAUUGGAGUUGGCACCCAGGCUAUAUACAGUGCCUUCGGAAAAUCUUCAGACCCCUCGACUUUUUCAACAUUUUGUUACGUUACAACCUUAUUCUAAAAUGUAUCAAAUGAAAAUGUACAUACAGUACCAGUCAAAAGUUUGGACUCAUUCAAGGGUUUUUCUUUAUUUUGACUAUUUUCUACAUUGUAGAAUAAUAGUGAAGACAUCAACACUAUGAAAUAACACAUAUGGAAUCACGUAGUAACUAAAAAAGUGUUUAAACAAAUGAAAAUAUAUUUUAUAUUUCAGAUUCUUCAAAGUAGCCAUCCUUUGCCUUGAUGACAGUUUUGCACACUCUUGUCAUUCUCUCAACCAGCUUCAUGAGGUAGUCACCUGGAAUGCAUUUCAAUUAACAGGUGUGCCUUGUUGAAAGUUAAUUUGUGGAAUUUUUUUCCUUAAUGCGUUUGAGCCAAUCAGUUGUGUCGUGACAAGGUAGGGGUGGUGUACAGAAGAAGCCUGUUUGGUAAAAGACCAAGUCCAUAUUAUGGCAAGAACAGCUCAAAUAAGAGAAGUGACAGUCCAUCAUUACUUUAAGACAUAAAGGUCAGUCAAUACGAAAAAUGUCAAGAACUUUGAAAGUUUCUUCAAGUGCAGUCGCAAAAAAACAUCAAGCUCUAUGAUGAAACUGACUCUCAUGAGGACCGCCACAGGAAAGGAAGACCCAGAGUUACCUCUGCAGCAAAGGAUAAAUUCAUUGGAGUGUUAUUUCAGUGUUGAUGUCUUCACUAUUUCAGUUUUGAUGUCUCUUCACUAUUAUUCUACAAUGUAGAAAAUAGUCAAAUGAAAAGAAAAACCCUUGAAUGAGUAGGUUUUCUAAAACUUUUGACCGGUACUGUAUAUGUCUUGGACCAGGCUAUAUAUGUUUGUCUGUAUCUUUUCUGUUAACAAUGUAUUAGUGUAUCGUAUUUUCUUUAUUUCUUGAUGCGCAUAACUGUUGGCUGAGCAGCAGUCCUCGACUUGGGCUGGAGCUGAGUACCAGCACCUCAAAUGUUCUACGGCUUCAGCUCCCGUUCCUCUUAUAGAAUAUCAACUCAAAUGUAUUGUGGAGCUCCUGCACCUGAAUAUAAACAGUAACGACACCUAUUUCAGUCCAUGUCGAGUACUGCUGAGCAGUGUGGAAGGGAGGGGCUAACGCUGGUGGUUUUAUAUAGAGAAAAAUAGCUCUGGUCCAGGGUGUGGUUUGGUAAUGUUCUCAGCGUCGCCCUGGACCAGAGUUAAAGAUAUGAACGUCAGCACGUCCAUUAUAGAUGUACAUAGUGUAUUUCUCUGCUUUGGUUUACGACAAUAUAAGCUGUUUUUCUUACUUUAUACGUUUGUACUUCUGUGAAAUAAAGAUUAUUAUUUUAUCACAUGCUUGCUCUUUACUAUUCUAUAGAUUACUACUAGAAGGUUGGAAAAUUAUGGGAACUUUCCCAAAACUUCC